GAUGAACGCUGGCGGCGUGCCUAAUACAUGCAAGUCGAGCGAACAGACGAGGAGCUUGCUCCUCUGACGUUAGCGGCGGACGGGUGAGUAACACGUGGAUAGCCUACCUAUAAGACUGGGAUAACUUCGGGAAACCGGAGCUAAUACCGGAUAAUAUAUUGAACCGCAUGGUUCAAUAGUGAAAGACGGUUUUGCUGUCACUUAUAGAUGGAUCCGCGCCGCAUUAGCUAGUUGGUAAGGUAACGGCUUACCAAGGCAACGAUGCGUAGCCGACCUGAGAGGGUGAUAGGCCACACUGGAACUGAGACACGGUCCAGACUCCUACGGGAGGCAGCAGUAGGGAAUCUUCCGCAAUGGGCGAAAGCCUGACGGAGCAACGCCGCGUGAGUGAUGAAGGUCUUCGGAUCGUAAAACUCUGUUAUUAGGGAAGAACAAAUGUGUAAGUAACUAUGCACGUCUUGACGGUACCUAAUCAGAAAGCCACGGCUAACUACGUG
RNAcentral lists this ribosomal RNA (497 nucleotides) under uncultured bacterium. RNAcentral's name for it is "partial 16S ribosomal RNA". It matches the Rfam family "Bacterial small subunit ribosomal RNA", at positions 28 to 507 of the family's 1533-position model. The record is from RNAcentral.